Molecule: unclassified non-coding RNA, 341 nt
Filed under: soil metagenome
Description: partial contains 5.8S ribosomal RNA, internal transcribed spacer 2, and large subunit ribosomal RNA
Rfam family: 5.8S ribosomal RNA (bases 1-120)
Source: RNAcentral
GAUGAAGAACGCAGCGAAAUGCGAUAAGUAGUGUGAAUUGCAGAAUUCAGUGAAUCAUCGAAUCUUUGAACGCACAUUGCGCCCUUUGGUAUUCCAAAGGGCAUGCCUGUUCGAGCGUCAUUUGUACCCUCAAGCUUUGCUUGGUGUUGGGCGUCUUGUCUCUAGCUUUGCUGGCGACUCGCCUUAAAGUAAUUGGCAGCCGGCCUACUGGUUUCGGAGCGCAGCACAAGUCGCACUCUCUAUCAGCAAAGGUCUAGCAUCCAUUAAGCCUUUUUUUCAACUUUUGACCUCGGAUCAGGUAGGGAUACCCGCUGAACUUAAGCAUAUCAAUAAGCGGAGGA